AAGGCCUGAUGUGUGUGAGAUUACCCGCUGAAUUUAAGCAUAUAAGUAAGCGGAGGAAAAGAAACUAACUAGGAUUCCCUUAGUAAUGGCGAAUGAACAGGGAUCAGCUCAGUGCCAAAUCGGAAUCACUUGUGGUUCUGAAAUGUGGCUUGAAGGCAGUACCAGUGGCAUCGCGGACGAAAGUCUCUUGGAAAAGAGCGUCAUAGAGGGUGAGAAUCCCGUGAGUCGUUCGCCGUUUGUCACGUACGGUCUGCGUUCUAACGAGUCGCGUUCCUUGGGAUUGGAGCGUAAACGGGUGGUAAAUUUCAUCCAAAGCAAAAUAUAUACUCGAGACCGAUAGCACAAAAGUACCGUGAGGGAAAGGUGAAAAGAACUUUGAGAAGAGGGUUAAAUAGUGCCUGAAAUCGUUGAGAAGGAAGCGGAUGCCGCCGUUGCAUAUGCUGAUUGUAGGAUUGCUGCUCGCUCCUGUCUUCUGCUACUCAUUCACAGACCUGGUCGUGUUGAGCAGUUGUUUGGCAGAUGUUAGUGGUGUUUCCUACUUUCAGUCGUCAGCAUCACUGGCUGAGUGGAAAUAAUCCUUGGAUGCUAAUUGGUUCGCUAUCUGUGAAUUGGUUGCUUCCUUGCGAUACUCACUACUCGGUCAGUGAGGAAGUGCGUUUGCUGGUCAACGAGCUUUCUAACUGUCAUUACCCUGCGCUUUUCGAUUCGUCGAGUGGCCAGGAUGUGGCUUUGAGAUUGUUCGCACUUAGUAAUCGCGAUGCUGGCUUCCAACGGUUGCCUCCGGCCCGUCUUGAAACACGGACCAAGGAGUCUAACGUAUGUGCGAGUGUGUGAGUGGCAAACUUAUACGCGUAAUGAAAGUGAGGCCGUAUGGCCAUGUUGGGGUCACCAACAACCGACCUUGAUCUUCGGUGAAAGGUUG
This 922-nucleotide non-coding RNA is filed under the name Perkinsus marinus ATCC 50983. Its description in RNAcentral is "Eukaryotic large subunit ribosomal RNA". It matches the Rfam family "Eukaryotic large subunit ribosomal RNA", at positions 1 to 792 of the family's 3401-position model. Lineage: Eukaryota; Perkinsozoa; Perkinsida; Perkinsidae. The record is from Rfam by way of RNAcentral.